Molecule: regulatory RNA element, 249 nt
Organism: Ruminococcus sp. CAG:108
Lineage: Bacteria; Bacillati; Bacillota; Clostridia; Eubacteriales; Oscillospiraceae
Rfam family: T-box leader
About the family: Uncharged tRNA acts as the effector for transcription antitermination of genes in the T-box leader family. T-boxes are found upstream of many aminoacyl-tRNA synthetase genes and some amino acid biosynthetic genes usually in Gram-positive bacteria.
Source: Rfam
UUAAAAACAUUGACGGGAACAAGAUGCAAAUGAACCGGCAAAGAGAGCUGACGGUUGGUGUGAGUCAGCAUGGAACAUUGUAUGGAUAGCUCAUCCCCGAGUUUUUCGUGUGAAGUGUAUAUACUAUAUAUAUGUAAUGCGAAACGCAAGACUGCGUUAUCGGUCGGGACUUUGUCAGAAGUCUUUAAGGAGAACACAGUGAUGUGUUCUUGAAUACGGGUGGUACCACGGAUUUUAUUCGUCCCUUUG